GGAUGCAACGAAGCUUUUUACGAGCACGNCAAUGGAAAAGUGGGUUCUGGGUCGGGCCCGGGUCUUGAACCCAUUUAUUUUUUCACGGUUUGACCCUCGGGAUCAGGUUAGGAGUUACCCGGCUGAACUUAAAGCAUAUUCAAAUAAGCGGAGGAAAAAGGAAACCCAACAGGGGAUUAACCCUAGUAAACGGGCGAGUGAAGCGGUAACAGCCUCAAAAUUUGAAAAUCCUGGCCUUGACCGGUCCCGAGUUGUAAUUUGUAGAGGAUGUUUCGGGCAAGGCUCCUGGUUUAAAUUUCUUGGAACAGAAUGUCAUAGAGGGUGAGAGUNCCCGUCUAGAACCAGGGGCCGCGUCCAUGUGAAACUCCUUCGACGAGUCGAGUUGUUUGGGAAUGCAGCUCAAAAUGGGUGGUAAAUUUCAUCUAAAGCUAAAUAUUGGCCAGAGACCGAUAGCGCACAAGUAGAGUGAUCGAAAGAUGAAAAGUACUUUGAAAAGAGAGUUAAACAGUAUGUGAAAUUGUUGAAAGGGAAGCGCUUGCAACCAGACUUGCGUGUGACGGUUCCCCCGGUCUUCUGACCGGGCUACUCCGUCAUGUCCAGGCCAGCAUCGGUUCGGGUGGUUGGUUAAAGGCCCCGGGAAUGUAUCUACCUCCGGGUCGACUUAUAGCCCGGGGUGUAAUGCGGCCUACCUGGACCGAGGAACGCGCUUUU
Molecule: ribosomal RNA, 711 nt
Filed under: uncultured fungus
Lineage: Eukaryota; Fungi
Description: eukaryotic LSU rRNA
Rfam family: Eukaryotic large subunit ribosomal RNA (bases 98-711)
Source: RNAcentral